CUCGCCGUGAUGGAACGUGUCCGAUCGUCGAGCUUUUCAACCCUUUGCGCUCGUACUCGGCUCGGAGAUGGUUGCCGUGCUGGUCAGAAUUCAUUUGCAUCCCACGAACGUUGAUAUAAUAUAAUCUCGUAUGUAACAAGUAGCUUAAAAAGUUUUUUUUAAGAAUUAUAUGAAAUUUUAAGAAGCGCGUUGACGAAGAAAUGCGCAAGCAGUGGCUGUCAGAGAGCAGAUAUACAAUCGAAAUGGUAAAAGUGCUGUAGUGACCGAGAGCAGAUGUACGAUCGAAAUGGUAAAAGUGAUGUGGUGGCUGAACAUACGACCGCAAAGGGUUAAUAAGUAUUAUACUUUAAUUCGUCGAUGAAAUCUUUGAAGGAGAUCGAGGAAGAAAGAUUUAUAUCGUGGAAAUGUGAAUAACGAAAGCUUCUGAUGAUUUUGUAUCUUCUGAAUUUAACAAUUGAAACUUUCUAACGUCGAAAUUUUUAUUUUCGAACGUAACGUGAAAUCUUCGAGGAAGAUGUAACGUCGUGAAAACGUGAAUGAUAAAAGCUUCUGAUAAUUUUGUAUCUUGCGAGUCCGAGAAACGAGGUUCUGCAACAUUCAACUUUAUAUCUUUGAACGUAUCAUGAAGAUCAUAGAAGAUCGGCUGUCUUCGUGAAAAUGUCAAUGACGAAAGACUCUGACAAUUUUGUAUUUCUAGAGUUCGAGACUUCAAUAUUCACAUUGAAAUUUUUAUUUUUAAGCGCGUUGUGAAAUCUUUGAGGGAGAUAAAUUUGAGGAUUUAAGAGUCUGAAAAAUUUGUUAAAAGUGUCCUCUUGGGUGGUGGAUGAAUGUGUUGAUAAAUUGUAUCUUAAGCAAGAAUUUUUAAACUUGACAUUGUUAGGCGUGAUUGAAGCUUCUAUAAAGAAUGGAAACAAUCUGUUGAAUUACAAAGUUUCAAGAUCGAAGCAUUUGAGAACACAGCAAACGUAUUAAUUGCUAACAAAUACAUUGAAAUUCUAAUUUCACCUAUUAAAAGUCUCUUUGGUUUCUUCUACCAAAUAGUCUUCUCAAUAGUUAGCCCAAAUCUCAGAAUCACUUCAUUACAAAACCACGAUUCUAUCAACAACCCAAUGUACUUCCUCAAUUCUAAUACAACUCCAUGUUACAAUCAAAUUUAUCUAUUGAUUUAACAUACUUCUAUUUAACAUACUGUUAAACAUUCUCCAUAAUACUAUGUAAUUCCUCAAAAUAACAUUGAAACUCAGUUUCAAAACGUCAUAAAUAUCCAUAACUAAAAGGAACUUUUAAUGAAAUAAAAAUGAAUCCUGCCCAAGAUGUUACUUAAAAAACUUGUAAUAUCUUUUCCUUCUGAUUUAAUUUUCAAUUAAAACUAAUAAGAGUGAAGAACGAUAAUCUGAAUUUUCACCUACGUCAUGUUUUUUUACGCGUCCGAUGUUAUGCUCCUUUUUAUAACAAUAUGAUAUAAUAAUAAUUAACAAUAAAAAAGACGUAUUAUUAUUCGAAGACACGAUCUAUUUUCUUAUUAUAAUGUUAUUUCCUCUUGUUGAACUUAACAGAUACAGAUCGAACAUAGUUUGAGAUCGUUCGACAGGUCAAUGGAUGAGGUUUUCGAUGGUGUUCAGGUGCGCAAGAACUGCGAAGAUCGGUCAUGGAACUUCGACACGGUUUGCCAGAUCUGGGCUCAAUUUACGUUCAGUUGCGAAAGCAGCCGACGCUCGAACUUUGGAUUUACAUUCAAGUAAAUUGGAAUGCGGCAUUCGGCGCGGAAUGUACGGAGCAUGCUGAUAGAGCUGCGGUCAAGCUGGUUAUUCGGAGUUUACACUUCCUUCUCUGUAGAGGUGAAUGAGGAGGCAGUAUAUACGCAGCUUUUUAGCCGCUGGUUACUCUCAUGUUUGAGAUGUACAUCGAUUAUAAGAAUUUUACAAAAUUUAUGUGUCAAUUAUGCUCCUGAAAAUAUGAAUUUGAUAAAAAUCAUACAAUAUAAUCAUGAUACAUAUCAUAUGACGAAUAUGACGAAUGUCAGUAUAAUUACGUGACAAGUUUCUUCUGCAAUAGUGUUUCUAGAUAUUUUAAAAAUGUCCACAAUUUUGUAAUUGAGUGUGGUAGUGGGUAGAGAAAAAUGUAGAAAAUAUGUUUCAGAUUGACAUUCUAGAGUUUUCUCAAUUUUUGUUCAAUUUCUCAAAAAGUUAAGGUUUUCAUUUUAUAAAGUUAAAAGUUU
Molecule: long non-coding RNA, 2218 nt
Organism: Bombus huntii
Lineage: Eukaryota; Metazoa; Arthropoda; Insecta; Hymenoptera; Apidae
Exons: 3
Source: RefSeq, a predicted model, not a curated record